Brachypodium distachyon (stiff brome) is the source of this 3122-nucleotide long non-coding RNA. RefSeq lists it as uncharacterized. The record is from RefSeq and is a predicted model, not a curated record. NCBI's taxonomy places the organism in Eukaryota, Viridiplantae, Streptophyta, Magnoliopsida, Poales, Poaceae. The transcript is spliced from 3 exons.
UGCGAGUAUCUAUGGCAAUUCGGUCAUCACUAAAACUCGUUCAAUCCUACAUAGACGCAAACAGUAGGUCCGCGAUUUGUCUCGGAAGUACUAAUAGUAGUUGGCCUUUAGUUUUUCUCGAAGCUAGCUAGUAAAAGUGAAAACGCUACCUCAGAAUACGCCUUGCGUGCGCGGAAACGUAAAUCUAGAUCCUAGAAAAGGGGCAGGGAAAACGAAGGUGUCGUCCCCUACCCCUAUCCAAACAGAUCGCCCCACCAAAUGACGCCGCCAAUUUGAUCCUCCGAUGGAUCCGCCGACGGCAGAAGCGGCGAGUGCGGCACGGCGGCGCGGGAAUUUCCGAGCAAGGCGUGCAGCUGGGAAGACCAUGCCGCUCGAUGAGCCCGCUCCCGCGCGCGGUGGCUCGCUCAGGCAGGCGGGCGGUCGGGCUCGACGGGGGGAAUCCAGCGAGGGCAGUUAUAUCGCACCAUUCGCGGAGGAUAUUUAGUCCCACAUCGCCAUUUCAGACGGAAUCCGCGUCCUAUAAAUCCGCACCAUUCGCGGAUUGCCUCGCCGGGCCUAGUAGCGAAGGCCUGUAACUCCAGCUUCGGAGGGUAGAGUUGGCGAGGGUAAGGCUCGGCUCAUGCGUGGGCGUCGCCGGCAACGGUGGCGGAGCCGAGCUCGGGUUGAGGGGUGCGCAGCCUUCUGAGUUUGAGCCUAGGGUCAGGGGGUACGCCCCAUGUCCCGCGUGCGUGUAAGCACUCUACUCAAACGAGCCCCACCGUAUCAGUAAAUUAUACGGUUUCAGGGAGGGACACGACCCAGGGGCCAAGCGUUGUAUCCCGGGUCCGGUGGCCAAGGCCACCGGGUUGGCCUUCGGCCGAGCCCCUCAGUACUACUAACACUACUAACGGGGCUUUCUCUCGAAGAGAGGGAGUUCCACUAACCUUAGUACUCCUCUCCUAGCUUGGCCUUUCCCUCUCGGGGGAGCCUUGGGUUCCUUGGAAUAAAGCGCACUCCUUGACACCUCUCGCCAGCUCUUUUGUGGAGCAAAGAAAAUUGAUUACCUGUUCUCUCAAAUUUGAACUAAAAUCACGACAAAAAUUUAGGAUCGGAGCAAGUACAAAAUUACGUUUAGUAAAGAGAUGUUUGGCUUAUCUCUUUCAAGAUCAUAAAAAAAUAUGAUGCUUUGGAAUCUAGAUCACGUAGACUAUUCAUCUGUCCAGCAAGGUGACAACCAGACUCACUUCAAUCUUAAUGGCUGUGAAUAUUCUUACUCACUAUGACUAUUUUCAUUUGGCAAGCAAGGCUAAUUUGAAUCCAACUUAUUUGUUAUUCAAACCUAUAUGUUUUGGAUUUAAGCUCAACUUCUUUAUCAGGUACUAAUUUGAAUUCAAAUUCUUGAAUAUUACCAAUGUUUGCCCAAUUCACUGGCUAGUUAAAGCUUACAUGUUGCUUUAGAUUAAUCAUGCUAAUGAUUUCUGUAUGCUUCACUACUCACUAGAUGAAUCUUCUGACCUGGUAGUUAAUCUUAGUUAUUUUGGCUGUGUGUGUAUAUAAAGUGAAGACAACUGGACAAUUUAUUGUGCUGGUGCAUGCUUACUUUGUAGUGUCUUGUCCAUAGCUGCCUGAACUUGUUUCCUUAUGUAACUUUAUGCUCCUUGUAAAAGAAACACUAAUUUAUCUGAAAUAUGCAGGUAUUAGUGUCUGUCUAUAAAAUGCCCGUGGUAAUAUUUUUGUUUUUUCGUUGUGUUUUCUCCCGUAUUGUCUGAUGAUGGUUUUUCUUUUCUGCCAGAAGAGUUCCUAUCAGUUUAUGUUGGCAAUCUUUCGCUGUCUACUUCUGUCUUCGAUAUUGAGAAAAUCUUCAGGCGUUUGGAAGAAUUAAACCUGAUGGAGUUGUUAGACGGAGUCACAAGGUUUCUUGCUUUCUAUCCACUGCUUUCAUUCCUGUUUCUGCUCUUGGCUUCCUAACCAUACUAAUACGCAGGUGGCUGGAAUUUUCUUUAGCUUUGUUGAGUAUGAAGACAGGAUUAGUGUCCAUGAUGCUUAGUGUGAGAUUCUCAACUUCUCGUAGUGUGGCAUGCUGGUUAAUUAGUUAUUAUAGCUUAAUCUGGGCAGAGAGCCCUGGAAUCAAAAGAAAAAGGGUAGAAUUUAAUUCAAACAUAGAUAAUCGAGAACUCAUCAUUAUUUGUAAGAGCAGGACUUGUCGGUGCUGCUGCCUACUGAUUUCCUAUCACAGGUCAAAGCAUGCAAAUGGGGAGCAUUAUGUACUGACAAUGCCGAAGCACUUACCGAGCUGCUCUCUUGUCGACGCUAUCAAGACCUAGCUCAAGAGGCUCUUCCUAGAUAAGGUAGUGGUGUACAAAGAGAAAAGUGCAAACUUCGUCACGUCAUCGUCAGUACACGAGAUUUUGUUGCUGGAAAUCUGUAGGGAAUGGAAGCUACAGAAUUACGUUCAGUAGAGACUUCAAUUCAUCUGUCGAGCAAGGUGACCACCUGACUCAACCAAGCAUUUGUCAAUCUUAAUGGCUGUGAUCUAAGCUUCUGUUCCUUCGCUGAAUUUCAUUGUCUAUAAAUAUUCUCCACCGGAUUGCAAGAAGUCAAAAGCAACUAUCUUUUUGAGAAUAACCGGGGGAGAAGCCCCACCUGAAUUAUAUUAAGGAUAAUAACAAGGUCAUACACAAGGUUAUACAGAGACAUAUCGGGAGAGUAAAUAAGCGCACCAAGCAGUGGCGUCAGCUUUGAGAGAACAGAUUUGGAGCGAUGGAGCCAAGUGUGAAAUCAGCAACAAUGCGGUUUAUCAUGGUCUACGUCUUGAAUGUAUUUACUGGUAUUUCUACUGAUACCCUUAUUGAGUAAGCCUUAUUCUUAAUUGAACAAAUGUUAACGUCUAGAGUAGCUGCUUUAUGUUGGGUAGCCUAUAAAAUUCAUCAGUGGUGUCAGGUGUUAUCUCUCUGUAUUUACUACUCCCUCCGUCCCAUAUUUCUCGUCGUAGUUUUAGUUCAAAAUAACUAUGACAAAAUUUAUGGGACGGAGGGAGUAAAAUAUUAUGUAGGAUUCUAUGUUGCCUCUGCUGGGUAUCAGGAGCACACCAGAGCUAGCGAGGGUCAGAUUCAUCAAGCUGCAUGCAAACUAACAGCUCGUUU